Molecule: long non-coding RNA, 624 nt
Organism: Gallus gallus (chicken)
Lineage: Eukaryota; Metazoa; Chordata; Aves; Galliformes; Phasianidae
Source: Ensembl
CCAGAACCCACGGGCCAGAUGGUGAGUGAGGACUGCAGGAACCUCACUCGUGCACAUGGCCCUUGUCAGAGCAGCAUCGCUCUUGUCCACAAGCCGUCCCUCAUGCAAAGUGAGGACAGCAGACUCCCUUGGAGGGUUUUGAGGGCUACAGGAUGGGGCGCAGGGUGCCCUGGGGACAGGACUUGGAGGGAGGUGCUCCAUGCUGGGAAUACUCUGCAGGCAUUCUGGAUGUGGGGGACCCAAAGUGGAGCAGGAACAACACCCCAGGGGACUGCGGUCCAUGGAGUAUACAGACUGAAAGAAGCAGAAAACGUGAGGAGGAAGGAGAAGAGGCAGAAAAGAACAAGAAACCAUCACAAACCAACGCAGCCAUCUACAAAAAUGAGAGCCUCCUUGCCUAUUCGUUGGAUCUGUUUCUACUGUUGACCCUAUCACAUCUUACCAGUGGAAAACCUACUGAAAUCAUUAAUUGGCGAGAGAGCAUGGUUAUGGUUUUAUUGCUAUCAUGAAAAUCUAAAUCCUGGAAAAUUAUGAGUGUAAAUGCAAGCAAAUCAAAGUAAUCAAACUAAUUUCUCAUUAUUGAAUUACUAUCAAGCUCCUCACAAAAUAAUUCCCACAAAAAAC